Molecule: ribosomal RNA, 600 nt
Filed under: Alloalcanivorax venustensis
Lineage: Bacteria; Pseudomonadati; Pseudomonadota; Gammaproteobacteria; Oceanospirillales; Alcanivoracaceae
Description: bacterial SSU rRNA
Rfam family: Bacterial small subunit ribosomal RNA
Source: RNAcentral
GUCGAGCGGCGGACGGGUGAGUAACGCGUGAGAAUCUACCCAUGAGUGGGGGACAACCCGGGGAAACUCGGGCUAAUACCGCAUACGCCCUACGGGGUAAAGCAGGGGACCUUCGGGCCUUGCGCUGAUGGAUGAGCUCGCGUCGGAUUAGCUUGUUGGUGAGGUAAAGGCUCACCAAGGCGACGAUCCGUAGCUGGUCUGAGAGGAUGAUCAGCCACACCGGGACUGAGACACGGCCCGGACUCCUACGGGAGGCAGCAGUGGGGAAUCUUGGACAAUGGGGGCAACCCUGAUCCAGCCAUGCCGCGUGUGUGAAGAAGGCCUUCGGGUUGUAAAGCACUUUCAGCAGGGAGGAAGGCUUACCCCUAAUACGGGUGAGUACUUGACGUUACCUGCAGAAGAAGCACCGGCUAAUUUCGUGCCAGCAGCCGCGGUAAUACGAAAGGUGCAAGCGUUAAUCGGAAUUACUGGGCGUAAAGCGCGCGUAGGCGGUGUGUUAAGUCGGAUGUGAAAGCCCAGGGCUCAACCUUGGAAUUGCAUCCGAUACUGGCACGCUAGAGUGCAGUAGAGGGAGGUGGAAUUUCCGGUGUAGCGGUGAAA